CCAGCUCCAAUAGCGUAUAUUAAAGUUGUUGCAGUUAAAAAGCUCGUAGUCGAACUUUAGAUUUUUAAACUUGAUGGUCUUGAUUUUUUAAGAUCAAGUACUAUCUAAAGUUAAAUCUAUUAUUAUUGAAUACUUUUUAAAUUUUCCUUAAAAAAGAAGAUUUAAAAAAGUAUUCAAUCGUUUACCUUGAAAAAAUUAGAGUGUUCAAAGCAAGCUUCUUUUGUAAGCUUGAAUAGAUUAGCAUGGAAUAAUAAAAUAUGACUUUUGGUCUUAUUUUGUUGGUUUUAAAGACCUUAGUAAUGAUUAAAAGGAGCAGUUGGGGGCAUUUGUAUUGCUAUGUUAGAGGUGAAAUUCUUGGAUCAUAGCAAGACAAACUAAUGCGAAAGCAUCUGCCAAGGAUGCUUUCA
RNAcentral lists this ribosomal RNA (407 nucleotides) under uncultured Smittium. Its description in RNAcentral is "partial small subunit ribosomal RNA". It matches the Rfam family "Eukaryotic small subunit ribosomal RNA", at positions 585 to 972 of the family's 1831-position model. Lineage: Eukaryota; Fungi; Kickxellomycota; Harpellomycetes; Harpellales; Legeriomycetaceae. The record is from RNAcentral.